Molecule: ribosomal RNA, 589 nt
Filed under: uncultured bacterium
Lineage: Bacteria
Description: partial 16S ribosomal RNA
Rfam family: Bacterial small subunit ribosomal RNA
Source: RNAcentral
UGGGGAAUAUUGCACAAUGGGCGCAAGCCUGAUGCAGCCAUGCCGCGUGUGUGAAGAAGGCCUUCGGGUUGUAAAGCACUUUCAGCGAGGAGGAAGGUGGUGAACUUAAUACGUUCAUCAAUUGACGUUACUCGCAGAAGAAGCACCGGCUAACUCCGUGCCAGCAGCCGCGGUAAUACGGAGGGUGCAAGCGUUAAUCGGAAUUACUGGGCGUAAAGCGCACGCAGGCGGUUUGUUAAGUCAGAUGUGAAAUCUCCGGGCUCAACCUGGGAACUGCAUUUGAAACUGGCAAGCUAGAGUCUCGUAGAGGGGGGUAGAAUUCCAGGUGUAGCGGUGAAAUGCGUAGAGAUCUGGAGGAAUACCGGUGGCGAAGGCGGCCCCCUGGACGAAGACUGACGCUCAGGUGCGAAAGCGUGGGGAGCAAAACAGGAUUAGAUACCCUGGUAGUCCACGCUGUAAACGAUGUCGAUUUGGAGGUUGUGCCCCUUGAGGCGUGGCUUCCGGAGCUAACGCGUUAAAUCGACCGCCUGGGGAGUACGGCCGCAAGGUUAAAACUUAAANGAAUUGACGGGGUCAUAGCUGUUUCCUG